This 253-nucleotide ribosomal RNA is filed under the name uncultured bacterium. RNAcentral describes it as "partial 16S ribosomal RNA". It matches the Rfam family "Bacterial small subunit ribosomal RNA", at positions 524 to 776 of the family's 1533-position model. The record is from RNAcentral.
UACGAAGGGGGCUAGCGUUGCUCGGAAUCACUGGGCGUAAAGCGCACGUAGGCGGCUUUUUAAGUCAGGGGUGAAAUCCUGGAGCUCAACUCCAGAACUGCCUUUGAUACUGAGAAGCUUGAGUCCGGGAGAGGUGAGUGGAACUGCGAGUGUAGAGGUGAAAUUCGUAGAUAUUCGCAAGAACACCAGUGGCGAAGGCGGCUCUCUGGUCCAUGUCUGACGCUGAGGUACGAAAGCCAGGGGAGCAAACGGG